CGGAGGGACGGGCCAAGCGCGGAAGAGGGAGGGGGACUCCGCCAUUGAGGAGCCAGAGACCUAUACUAGGUAGAGGCGUGGUCUGCGUGGAACUUCCGAGUUUAUGUAAAACCCCGUCUUUGGGUUCAUUGGUGUUAAAGUCAGGCGGGAUCUACACUGCCGCAUAAAAUCCAGAUUAUCCGCAUAAAAUCCAUAUUGUAGGAAAGUUACUCAAGCCCCUUCUGCACUGCCAAAUAAUCCGGGUUAUCAAAACAAAUAAUCCACAUUAUCUGCUUGGAACUGUAUAAUAUGAGUCUACACUGACAUAUAAUCCAGUUCAAAGCAGAUAAUCCGGAUUAUAUAUGGCAGUGUAGAAGGGGCCUAAGUAUAUUAAAGGAAAGUUACUCAAGCCCCUUCUGCACUGCCAUAUAAUCCGGGUUAUUAAAGCAAAUAAUCUGGAUUAUCUGUUUGGAACUGGAUUAUAUGGAAGUGUAGACCAGGCAUAGGCAAACUUGGGCUGGUAGGCUGUUAGGAAUUGUGGGAGUUGAAGUCCAAAACACUUGGAGGGCUGGAGUUUGCCCAUGCCUGGUCUACACUGCCAUAUAAUCCAGUUCCAAGCAGAUAAUCUGGAUUUUAUAUGGCAGUGUAGAAGAGGCUUUAGGAUCAAAGAAAUGGGGUAUGUUGCUACCUUGAGAUCCAAUCCUAGCUCUUUUAGGAUAUGUAAGAAAUCAGUUUAGUGUGUGUCUCAACUGCAAAAUAAGGUGCAUGAAGUUGAUUGGUUGAACCAUGCCUGGAGAGCUGUUAAGCCUGGGAAUUUUUGAUAUUGUUGCAAUUUUGUUCAGGCUUGAGCUAAGCAGUUGGAAGAAAGAAGCAGGGAGAGAGACAAAGUUUUAUGAGCUGCUGGAAGGAAUUUAUCCACCUGGACAAAGGAAAGACUAUUUUAAAUAUCUCAUAAAAGGAGAUAUUUAGAUAUGGAAUUUCAUUAAAGGCAACUUGACCCCGGCA
This is a long non-coding RNA of Anolis carolinensis (green anole), 984 nucleotides long. RefSeq lists it as uncharacterized. Lineage: Eukaryota; Metazoa; Chordata; Lepidosauria; Squamata; Anolidae. The record is from RefSeq and is a predicted model, not a curated record. The transcript has 2 exons.